CUUGUAUACAUUUUUGACCUUUAGGAUACAACAAGAAAUGCAAAGAUAUUUGUCAAUCAAGCAGACCCAACAGAGUGCUGAUGCUCCUGAUGUUCAGAAAAAAAUCCUAUUUGGAUUCAGAGUUAUGUCACGUGCAUUUUCCGACCCCCCAAAGACUGAGCAAAACUU
Molecule: non-coding RNA, 168 nt
Organism: Camelina sativa (false flax)
Lineage: Eukaryota; Viridiplantae; Streptophyta; Magnoliopsida; Brassicales; Brassicaceae
Source: RefSeq, a predicted model, not a curated record